Mycena polygramma is the source of this 91-nucleotide non-coding RNA. NCBI's taxonomy places the organism in Eukaryota, Fungi, Basidiomycota, Agaricomycetes, Agaricales, Mycenaceae. The record is from the annotation of a GenBank genome assembly.
GGCUCGGUGGCGUCUGGCACUCAUCUGCCUUAAAUGGCAUUGAACCAAGAUAUUUCUGCAGACCUCGCCCGUUCGACUCGGGCCCGAGCCA